GUAGUUUUUGUGUAACCCAGCUGUUGGAUUAGUUGACCAUUAAAAUGAUAUACCCUUCCCCCUACCUCUUACAAAAUAACCCAUCUGAUGGAUUACAGUCGAAAUACUUUCAGUAAAAAAAAAUAGGAGUCACAGCAUCGGCUUCUUUCGGCUACGGGUGAAACGCGAGGCCGCGGUCUGAAGUUCUCAGUUUCCCCGGGGAAUAACAGCCCAUUACCGGCUCAGAUUUCAGCGACACGCCCGCACGGGAAUCAACAGGCACUCUGUUGUCGUCUGAGGUGUAAAAUGUUGAGUGCUACAGACAAAAGACGUCCACACAUCAUUCAGGACCUGCACAGCUUCACUGGAGUGAAUUAGACGCACAGCUACCUGAGCCUCACCGACCCACGGCAGGAGAAAACGAACAGAGUAGGAACCGUUGAGUAGAUCCACCACCUCCCCAAAAACACUGGCCUGUAACAGAAAAACAGUGAGAGAACUUUUUCUCUCUGACCCAGCACCCAUUCUCCAGGGUAUAUCGAGGUGUGAGAAGCAAGAAGGGCCGUAACUUGACGACAUGAAAGCUCUUAAGGAGCACUUUCUAUCGUCAAAAGUACUGUCAUACAUUCAUCCAUUUGUAUUAUAAGACAAGCAAACAAAGUUUUUUUCUGGAUUUGCACAAAUGAAUUGUUCACCACGAAAAUAGCUAGCUAAGAAAAUAAAUAUAUUCAAUUUUGAUUUCAUGGGGACUUUAAUGUUUAUUUUGUAGUAAUAUGGCUGUCAAAUUUAAUGCUGUCACGAGUGUGGUUUGCGAGAGAGAGCACUCAACGAGGAAAAAUAAACUUAAUUUUAAUCUUCUAGGAACGAAAUAAACACUACAGUUACAGGCUGACAGACAGGACAACAAAAAGGAGUCCACAUGUGUGACAAAUGCGUUCAUUGAGUGAUUUUUUUUUUUUACUGAUACCCAUGAGCGAACUAAGCGGCUCCUUAGGGCCCUCAAGAGUGGCCUACAUAAAGUGACAUUUUGUUUUAUUUCAUUUAUUUAAUUUGUAAUAUAUAAUACCUAUGGGCAAUGGUAAUUAUACAAAUAUUAAAAAAAUUUGCACAUAUUAAAGGGUUAAAUUCACCAUGUUUUGGGGGUGGAGGAGGGAUAAAUUCGACAUGGGGGGUUUGUGUCAGCCAGGGGUGCGUUUCUUAAAACCAUCGUUAGCUAACUAUGAUCAAUCUUGUUAUUUCUAUUGAACUCUAUUGGUAGCGACGGAACUUGCGCCCAUAGUUGCUGUUGGGAAACGUACCCCUGAUCAGAUCAGAGCACAGUUAAUUAGCACAACCUACUUAGGGUAUACUUUUGUUUUAGCGAAGAACAUCAAACAUCAGCAAAUGGACAUUUUAAAAUAAUGUAUCAUUUUACUUAAAAGUAACUUUCUAGUAACUGGGUCUAUAAUUCUGUAAUAAAAAUAAGCUUCUGUUUCAUAAACUGAUAACAGCUUAACAAUAUUUACCUCAGCCUACCUUUUGUUUGCUAUUAUAUUCCAUUAUAAUCGUCAUCGUGCAUCAAUCUGUUUCUAGCUAGAAAUAGAUCGAGAUACGUUGUUUUGCAGAUGCUCUCUGCUGUUUAAUAUUUAGCACAAAAACAUAAAUCUCGUAACAAAAUUACAAUUUUGAAUAAUAUUUAUGUUCUGUAAAUGCAUUGUCUGCUGGUUUAUUUGGCUACUUUUCAGUACACCAACAUCUUAACCCGGAUUUUGUCUAAACUAAGGUUUUUAAGCAGUCAUUACUUAUUCUUUAUUGUUUUGUUUUGUUUUAGUUGUCACUGCUAAAAAUUAGUAGUUGUUUGCACUAUUCAGACGACUAAUUGCCUGCACUGAUCAAGUUAAGUAGACAUCACUCUGUAUUUUACGUUUUUGAAGAGUGAUGGGAGGGGCUUUUUGAAGCAGAGAUCAGCGGCUUCCUGAAAAAGCAACAAUCCAAGUCAUCUCUGUAAUUGAGCUGGUUCCUGUUUUAGCAUCUGUAGAAAGCUUAGAUGACAGCCACAGUACGGCAGAUACCGAAAUCCUUUCACAAUCGUCUCAGGAGCGACGAACACAGUGGCCAGAGCAAUUUGAAGUCCCAAAUUUCUCUUUUGAUGUCGGGUAUAGACUCAGACAAGCAAAUCUGUAUCUUAGGGAUGGAACACUCCUUAAAGUAACAAAAGAUCUUAAAAACGAGGUCCUUGAGAUAUUGGGAGAGAGUAUUGCUUCACAGCAUAUCCAAACAAUGCUCAGUUUGAAAAAGCUGCAGCAGCACUGAUAAACAAGCAUCCUUGUCUCCAAGAGAAAGGCUCAACCAGUAGCUGCAGUGGUCGGAAGAACAGUUUAAAAUAUAACAUGGCUAAUUACAGGUCAAAGCUCAGACAGUCGGGGUGUUGCAGUGAUGUUGCAGUAAAUUCUGGUAAGUGUGGAGGGCAUUCAAGUCCAGGAGAAUCAGCUAACAAAAAUAUUAAUGCAAAAAAAGGCGAGCUCAACUUCUUACCCAACUUUCCAGAUGGAUUCGAUUUGAACAGGCCUUGAGGAUGCCCGCAAGAUCUUGGUCGAUGAAAUGCAGAAACGAACACCAAAUGGACAACUUGUGAAAGAGAAAAUGGAACUUACAUUUGCACUAAGAAGAAGAGAAGUGAUGGAGACCGAGCCUGCCAUAAGUCAGAUGGUGGAGCGCUGGCCUUCCCUUUUUACGGAGGAUCAGGUGUUCAUGGAGUUUAACAGGAUUGUGGGAAAGAACCUCAAGCAUGAAUUCUAUGAAAGCAUUGAUCAACACAGUCUUCAUCUAAUUGAGAUCUUUCGAUCUAAGAGAGGGAAUGUCGGACAGCUGUUGACACAGCUUUUAAAACAAUCCAAGGUUGGUCCAUUGUACACUUGUAUUAUAUAAAAAAAAACAAUCCUCCUUGUUGAGCAUGAAGGUGCUGUGACUCCAUCUUCUCUGCAUCUCAGUCCAGCCUCAUUCAAGAUUGUCAUUGAGGGAGAAGUUGUGAUGGAAAGCAUUAAAGACUUGUCAAAAGCAAUGUGUAUUCUUUUUGGACUUACAUAUGCACUGCAUCUUAACUACCCCAAAUCGAUGAAGAACACAUUCCAAUUCAUCCAACAAGUACUUCUCACGUUCGGGCACACUGACUUAAAGCCCAAGUUACAAGCAUUAAAAAAAAUAGCUUGCAAUUUAAUCUUGACAGGAAUGGCCGUUGUUCUUGUAUUGUUCUUGAGUUGCACAAUUAAUCUCUGAAGAGAUUAUCUUGUUCAAAAUGUCAUGUCAUUGCAGUAAGUGAUGUAAAGUUUAACAGUGUUUUGUGUUUAAAAUUCAAAGUGGUUAUCCUUAAGCUUUAGAGACUUGAUUAAAACUCGAGUUUUAAUGCUUAUCCAGUCUAGUCAUUCAGAAGGAUAUGGCAUAUUGUUGAAUACUAUGUGUUCCUGUUACUGUAAGCCAUUUGCACAGGUGUUAACAAACAACAUCGUGUUACCUGUUUUUAUGAGCAAUAAAAACAUUGAAAUGCU
Puntigrus tetrazona (Sumatra barb) is the source of this 3503-nucleotide long non-coding RNA. RefSeq lists it as uncharacterized. The record is from RefSeq and is a predicted model, not a curated record. The transcript has 6 exons. NCBI's taxonomy places the organism in Eukaryota, Metazoa, Chordata, Actinopteri, Cypriniformes, Cyprinidae.